ACAAGUACCGUGAGGGAAAGUUGAAAAGCACUCUGAAGAGAGAGUUAAACAGUACGUGAAAUCGGUAGGAUCGAAACGGAUAGAGUCGACGUAUCUAGCUCGUAUUCAGCGAGUGCGCGUUGUUUGCGGCUUUUGGUCGGCGUGGCUUUCGCGAGUCGCGCCGGUCGGGGGUUGUACGGCGGCGUGUGCUUGUGUUUUGCGGGCUAUUGUGCGCUGGGGCAAGCGCGUUGGUCGCCGGCUGCCGCGGAGACGAGGAUGCACACUUCGGUGUGUAAAACCGGCUCUCGGUUAGUGGGCGGUUCGGCGUGCUUGUGGUCAACUACUUGAUCGGUUGCGCGGUUGCGUGUGUUCGUUUACGCAGUGCAUGGCGGUCGCUUGCGACACGUGUGCACGGUUGAUUCGACGCGCGUGGCGGUUGUGCCGAUUGCCCGGUGUAAAAGUCGAUCAUCUAUCCGACCCGUCUUGAAACACGGACCAAGGAGUUUAACGUAUGCGCGAGUCAUUGAGCGUCGAAAACUCAAAGGCGUAAUGAAAGUGAAGACACUCUCGAAGUGUUGAUACGCGAUCGGCGGCGUCACGGCGUCGCCGAGCAGCGUAGCCCCGUUCUUGUCGCUUGCGAUGGGGCGGAGGUAGAGCGUAUGCGUUGAGACCCGAAAGAUGGUGAACUAUACUUGAGCAGGACGAAGUCAGAGGAAACUCUGAUGGAAGUCCGAAUCGAUUCUGACGUGCAAAUCGAUCGUCUGACUUGCGUAUAGGGGCGAAAGACUAAUCGAACUAUCUAGUAGCUGGUUCCUUCCGA
Molecule: ribosomal RNA, 799 nt
Filed under: Deladenus sp. AL
Lineage: Eukaryota; Metazoa; Nematoda; Chromadorea; Rhabditida; Sphaerulariidae
Description: eukaryotic LSU rRNA
Rfam family: Eukaryotic large subunit ribosomal RNA
Source: RNAcentral